This 750-nucleotide ribosomal RNA is filed under the name bacterium. Its description in RNAcentral is "bacterial SSU rRNA". It matches the Rfam family "Bacterial small subunit ribosomal RNA", at positions 32 to 780 of the family's 1533-position model. The record is from RNAcentral.
GGGGCUUGGCGCAUGCUUAACAUGCAGUCGAACGGCAGCACGGGAGCAAUCCUGGUGGCGAGUGGCGAACGGGUGAGUAAUACAUCGGAACGUGUCCUGGAGUGGGGGAUAGCCCGGCGAAAGCCGGAUUAAUACCGCAUACGCUCUGUGGAGGAAAGGGGGGGAUCUUAGGACCUCCCGCUCAAGGGGCGGCCGAUGGCAGAUUAGCUAGUUGGUGGGGUAAAGGCCUACCAAGGCGACGAUCUGUAGCUGGUCUGAGAGGACGACCAGCCACACUGGGACUGAGACACGGCCCAGACUCCUACGGGAGGCAGCAGUGGGGAAUUUUGGACAAUGGGGGAAACCCUGAUCCAGCAAUGCCGCGUGUGUGAAGAAGGCCUUCGGGUUGUAAAGCACUUUUGUCCGGAAAGAAAACCAUCGCCCUAAUAUGGUGGUGGGAUGACGGUACCGGAAGAAUAAGCACCGGCUAACUACGUGCCAGCAGCCGCGGUAAUACGUAGGGUGCAAGCGUUAAUCGGAAUUACUGGGCGUAAAGCGUGCGCAGGCGGUUCGCUAAGACAGAUGUGAAAUCCCCGGGCUUAACCUGGGAACUGCAUUUGUGACUGGCGGGCUAGAGUAUGGCAGAGGGGGGUAGAAUUCCACGUGUAGCAGUGAAAUGCGUAGAGAUGUGGAGGAAUACCGAUGGCGAAGGCAGCCCCCUGGGCCAAUACUGACGCUCAUGCACGAAAGCGUGGGGAGCAAACAGGUAAA